RNAcentral lists this long non-coding RNA (1843 nucleotides) under Macaca fascicularis (crab-eating macaque). RNAcentral's name for it is "lncRNA (ENSMFAG00000054882.1)". Lineage: Eukaryota; Metazoa; Chordata; Mammalia; Primates; Cercopithecidae. The record is from RNAcentral.
UUUUUUUUUUCUUUUUCACCCAACUGUCUCAUUAAAGCCAGUGGUUUAUCCUCCAUCCCCCUUUGAGUGUCUACUUAAAAGAACAAGGCAAGAUAUUAUGGGGAUCAAAUUUUCAUUUAAUUUACCACUUUUCUUAGUGAGGGAGGCAGUUACCUUAUACAUGGUAUUAUAAAUAUUUGUAAAUGAUGGUUUGUCAACAUCUCACACUCUACUGGGUGACGGGGCUGGUGCAGUGAAUGAGAGUGUAGUGUCUGACAACUGCUAACAUCAUAGAUGGCAGUUCUUAAAAGGUGCAGGGGGAGGAACACAGGCAAGAUGAGGGACCAUGUGGCCCAGGAAGCUAUUACACGGGCCAUGCUUUAAGUAUUUGCUGAAGGUGACCAAACAUGUGUUGUGGAACAGUUCGACCAAAUAGGCACCACUGAAUUCUCAAACUUGAGUAUGCCCCCGAAUUGCCCAAGGAAAGUCUUAAUUAUUGGGGUGGAUAGCCUCCACCCCAGAGAAUCUGAUUCAGCAUAUCUGUUGUAGACCCAGGAAGCUGUAUUUUCAAUAAACACCAAGGUGAGUUCAAUGCAGUUGGAAGAAUAAAGACUGCUCUUAAGGGUAAGCCGGGUACCAUAAGUUUUUGAACAUUUCAUGAGAAACCUAUUAAAAGACAAAAUUACAACAAUUUAGUCUAAAAUAUAACUUGCUUUUAUUUGCAAUUCUAGAAUUUGUCAAUAUCACAUUCUACAAAAUAGAACGAGUGUUCCAAUGAGCUCAGUAGAGAAGGUUGACCUUAUAGACAGAAAAGGGUUGAAGAAAGUAGAAACAGAGAAUGAAAAGCAGAUUGGUGGUUUCAAAGUUACUUUCCUUAUAGGAUUAAAACAGAGGAAACCUUCAUAUUAUGCUGACCGAGGUUGACAGGAAUCUCCCGGUUUUUUUUAAAACUGGCUCAUUUCAAAGUUAAGUUUGAUUACAUGGCAUUAGCACAAACGACUUCAUUCUGGUUGGGUCUGGUCUGCUGGAGCCCAGUGCGGGAGGCUGGUCCAAAACAAUGGCCUCCUAUAAACUUUAAUAAUCCUAAACAAAAAUGACAAAUUGUAGGUGUACAGCUUAAGAGAUCCUCAAAAGAGCAGAUAUUUCUGCUAUUCAGCAACUGCCUUAAAAAGAAAGUAGAGGAUGUUUUGAGGACUUUAAAAGCCUAACUUAACGCUCAUUUCAAGUAAUUGAUGCCACCAAGAGAAGCCUAACUUCUAAUGCCAUAGACACUUUUAAACUGUUUCUGAACUUUACAGAAAUAAAACUCUAAAGGAUGUACUUUUAAUAUUUUCUUUUACUCAGUAUUCUAUUUGUCAGGCUCACCCAUAAUAUUGGCUAUAGGUAUAUUCAUCACUUCCUUUCUUAAAAAAUGUAUCUUCUUAGCAUUCACUUUGAGAUAGUUGGGUCAUUCAAUUACUAUUUUUAGCUUUUUGAAAUUGUUAUCUUUUCAUCUAGUAAUGAGUCAGCUAGCUGAUUCCAGGUGUCCACCUUGAGACAUGCCAAAAUUAAUUUUUAGCCAUAUGUUGUUUGUUUAAUUAAAUCUAUGGAAACAAACAAAAAUCGUAGCAGGACGAGCUGCAGACAAAACUCCUCAGACACCGAGAACCAUUUUCCAAGCAUGGCCCCAGGAUCAAAUCCCUGACACACUUGCACGGGCACAUGUGCCAGUUUUGUCGUAUCUCUAACUAUGUCUUCAACUACUUGCUCUUGAUCAUCUAUUUGUAGACAGCAAUUAGUAAGGUUAAAUUUCCCACAGACCCCUCCUUCAGCUGCUAGCAAGUAGUUGAGAGCCAAUCUAUUUUGAUAGAUACCAUUUCUCAUC